This 349-nucleotide ribosomal RNA is filed under the name uncultured bacterium. RNAcentral's name for it is "bacterial SSU rRNA". It matches the Rfam family "Bacterial small subunit ribosomal RNA", at positions 917 to 1267 of the family's 1533-position model. The record is from RNAcentral.
GGGCCCGCACAAGCGGUGGAGUAUGUGGUUUAAUUCGAUGCAACGCGAAGAACCUUACCAGGGCUUGACAUCCUGCGAACCUCUGGGAAACCGGAGGGUGCCUUCGGGAACGCAGUGACAGGUGGUGCAUGGCUGUCGUCAGCUCGUGUCGUGAGAUGUUGGGUUAAGUCCCGCAACGAGCGCAACCCACGUCUUUAGUUGCCAGCAUUUAGUUGGGCACUCUAGAGAGACUGCCGGUGAUAAACCGGAGGAAGGUGUGGAUGACGUCAAGUCAUCAUGCCCCUUACAUCCUGGGCUACACACGUACUACAAUGCUACGGACAAAGGGCUGCAAGUUCGCGAGGACAAG